This is a non-coding RNA of Pelobates cultripes (western spadefoot toad), 251 nucleotides long. The record is from the annotation of a GenBank genome assembly. Lineage: Eukaryota; Metazoa; Chordata; Amphibia; Anura; Pelobatidae.
CUUUAACAGAGCACCUUUUUGGUUUUAUAGAUAGAUUAACAAGAAUGAACAGUAGAUUUGAGUUAAAGGUAAAGGGUUAAGACCAAUAGUAGAGGCAUAUCAGUAUAAUAGCAUCAUAAGUGUUACAUAAUAGGUUUCUCAGACUGAUUCUGCAGAUGAUCUUAAGCUGAGAUGUGAGGAAGCUUAAGAAGUUAGUGACAAGCUGCCAUGGUAGGGUACGUUCAACUCGCGUAUAGUGCUGCAUAGCAUGC